GAUGAACGCUAGCUACAGGCUUAACACAUGCAAGUCGAGGGGAAACGACAUCGAAAGCUUGCUUUUGAUGGGCGUCGACCGGCGCACGGGUGAGUAACGCGUAUCCAACCUGCCCACCACUUGGUGAUAACCUUGCGAAUGUAAGACUAAUACCCAAUGACCUCUCUAGUAGACAUCUGAAAGAUUUUAAAGAUUUAUCGGUGAUGGAUGGGGAUGCGGCUGAUUAGCUUGUUGGCGGGGUAACGGCCCACCAAGGCGACGAUCAGUAGGGGUGCUGAGAGGAAGGUCCCCCUCAUUGGAACUGAGCCACGGUCCAAACUCCUACGGGAGGCAGCAGUGAGGAAUAUUGGUCAAUGGACGAGAGUCUGAACCAGCCAAGUAGCGUGCAGGAUGACGGCCCUAUGGGUUGUAAACUGCUUUUAUAAGGGAAUAAAGUGAGUCUCGUGAGACUUUUUGCAUGUACCUUAUGAAUAAGGACCGGCUAAUUCCGU
This 491-nucleotide ribosomal RNA is filed under the name uncultured bacterium. RNAcentral describes it as "partial 16S ribosomal RNA". It matches the Rfam family "Bacterial small subunit ribosomal RNA", at positions 28 to 506 of the family's 1533-position model. The record is from RNAcentral.